Molecule: unclassified non-coding RNA, 249 nt
Filed under: uncultured fungus
Lineage: Eukaryota; Fungi
Also listed under: 1 other name
Description: partial contains 5.8S ribosomal RNA, internal transcribed spacer 2, and large subunit ribosomal RNA
Rfam family: 5.8S ribosomal RNA (bases 1-52)
Source: RNAcentral
AACGCACAUUGCGCCCCUUGGUAUUCCAUGGGGCAUGCCUGUUUGAGCGUCAUUUGUACCUUCAAGCUUUGCUUGGUGUUAGGUGUUUGUCUCGCCUUUGCGUGUAGACUCGCCUUAAAACAAUUGGCAGCCGGCGUAUUAAUCUCGGAGCGCAGUACAUCUCGCGCUUUGCACUCAUAACGACGACGUCUAAAAGUACUUUUUUACACUCUUGACCUUGGAUUAGGUAGGGAUACCCGCUGAACUUAA